Molecule: ribosomal RNA, 498 nt
Filed under: uncultured Eubacteriales bacterium
Lineage: Bacteria; Bacillati; Bacillota; Clostridia; Eubacteriales
Description: bacterial SSU rRNA
Rfam family: Bacterial small subunit ribosomal RNA
Source: RNAcentral
AGAGUUUGAUCCUGGCUCAGGAUGAACGCUGGCGGCGUGCCUAACACAUGCAAGUCGAACGGGUGUACGGGAUGGAAGGCUCCGGCCGGAAGCCCCGUGCAUGAGUGGCGGACGGGUGAGUAACGCGUGGGCAACCUGCCCUGUACAGGGGGACAACACUUAGAAAUAGGUGCUAAUACCGCAUAACGGGGGGAGCCGCAUGGCACCCCCCUGAAAACUCCGGUGGUACAGGAUGGGCCCGCGUCUGAUUAGCUGGUUGGCAGGGUAACGGCCUACCAAGGCGACGAUCAGUAGCCGGCCUGAGAGGGCGGACGGCCACACUGGGACUGAGACACGGCCCAGACUCCUACGGGAGGCAGCAGUGGGGGAUAUUGCACAAUGGGGGGAACCCUGAUGCAGCGACGCCGCGUGGGUGAAGGAGCGUUUCGGCGCGUAAAGCCCUAUCGGCAGGGAAGAAGGAGGACGGUACCUGACUAAGAAGCCCCGGCUAACUACGUG